Molecule: ribosomal RNA, 496 nt
Filed under: uncultured bacterium
Lineage: Bacteria
Description: partial 16S ribosomal RNA
Rfam family: Bacterial small subunit ribosomal RNA
Source: RNAcentral
GAUGAACGCUGGCGGCGUGCCUAAUACAUGCAAGUCGAGCGAACAGACGAGGAGCUUGCUCCUCUGACGUUAGCGGCGGACGGGUGAGUAACACGUGGAUAACCUACCUAUAAGACUGGGAUAACUUCGGGAAACCGGAGCUAAUACCGGAUAAUAUAUUGAACCGCAUGGUUCAAUAGUGAAAGACGGUUUUGCUGUCACUUAUAGAUGGAUCCGCGCCGCAUUAGCUAGUUGGUAAGGUAACGGCUUACCAAGGCAACGAUGCGUAGCCGACCUGAGAGGGUGAUCGGCCACACUGGAACUGAGACACGGUCCAGACUCCUACGGGAGGCAGCAGUAGGGAAUCUUCCGCAAUGGGCGAAAGCUUGACGGAGCAACGCCGCGUGAGUGAUGAAGGUCUUCGGAUCGUAAAACUCUGUUAUUAGGGAAGAACAAAUGUGUAAGUAACUAUGCACGUCUUGACGGUACCUAAGCUGAAAGCCACGGCUAACUACGU